Molecule: transfer RNA, 75 nt
Filed under: Deltaproteobacteria bacterium
Lineage: Bacteria; Pseudomonadati; Myxococcota; Myxococcia
Description: tRNA-Glu
Rfam family: tRNA
About the family: Transfer RNA (tRNA) molecules are approximately 80 nucleotides in length. Their secondary structure includes four short double-helical elements and three loops (D, anti-codon, and T loops). Further hydrogen bonds mediate the characteristic L-shaped molecular structure. tRNAs have two regions of fundamental functional importance: the anti-codon, which is responsible for specific mRNA codon recognition, and the 3' end, to which the tRNAs corresponding amino acid is attached (by aminoacyl-tRNA synthetases). tRNAs cope with the degeneracy of the genetic code in two manners: having more than one tRNA (with a specific anti-codon) for a particular amino acid; and 'wobble' base-pairing, i.e. permitting non-standard base-pairing at the 3rd anti-codon position.
Source: RNAcentral
GGCCCCAUCGUCUAGUGGUUAGGACAUCGGCCUCUCACGUCGGUAACCGGGGUUCAAAUCCCCGUGGGGUCGCCA